CGAAGAAGGGAAAAUUGGUCUUCUGUGCACGUCAUGCUGUACCCGCAGUCCUGAACAUCCGCGAGGUGAAGUUGACCUACACGUAACCUUUCUGAAGGACAAUACGACCUGCAACGUUUGCAAAGAUAGUCUCAUUUUCAUUGCAAAACCGACGGAAGGCUGCUCCGAAUGUGAAGCCGUAAAAAUUGAAUUAAAAACAAUUAUUAAAACCGCAUACCACUUUCAAAUUAUUUAGUUUUUCUGUUCUGUUCAAAUAUU
Neodiprion fabricii is the source of this 258-nucleotide long non-coding RNA. RefSeq lists it as uncharacterized. NCBI's taxonomy places the organism in Eukaryota, Metazoa, Arthropoda, Insecta, Hymenoptera, Diprionidae. The transcript is spliced from 2 exons. The record is from RefSeq and is a predicted model, not a curated record.